RNAcentral lists this ribosomal RNA (368 nucleotides) under uncultured eukaryote. RNAcentral's name for it is "partial 18S ribosomal RNA". It matches the Rfam family "Eukaryotic small subunit ribosomal RNA", at positions 592 to 976 of the family's 1831-position model. The record is from RNAcentral.
CAAUAGUGUAUAUUAAAGUUGUUGCAGUUAAAAAGCUCGUAGUUGAACUUCUGAUAGUGUGCAGUUCUGGUUUCUAUCAAGCUGCAUUGCUAUCAUCCGUCUGCAAACUCUGUUCAAACUUCACUGGUUGACAGGGGGAGUAGACAUUUUACUUUGAAAAAAUUAGAGUGUUUCAAGCAGGUUAUUGCCAGAAUACUUUAGCAUGGAAUAAUGGAAUAGGACUCUUGUCCAUUUGGUUGGUUAUUGGCCAAGAGUAAUGAUUAAUAGGGAUAGUUGGGGGCAUUAGUAUUUAAUUGUCAGAGGUGAAAUUCAUGGAUUUAUUAAAGACUAACUUAUGCGAAAGCAUUUGCCAAGGAUGUUUUCAUUAA